CCUACGGGUGGCAGCAGUGGGGGAUAUUGCACAAUGGGGGGAACCCUGAUGCAGCGACGCCGCGUGGGUGAAGAAGCGCCUCGGCGCGUAAAGCCCUGUCAGCAGGGAAGAAAAUGACGGUACUUGAGGAGGAAGCCCCGGCUAACUACGUGCCAGCAGCCGCGGUAAUACGUAGGGGGCUAGCGUUAUCCGGAAUUACUGGGCGUAAAGGGUGCGUAGGUGGUUUCUUAAGUCAGAGGUGAAAGGCUACGGCUCAACCGUAGUAAGCCUUUGAAACUGGGGAACUUGAGUGCAGGAGAGGAGAGUGGAAUUCCUAGUGUAGCGGUGAAAUGCGUAGAUAUCUGGAGGAACAUCAGUGGCGAAGGCGACUAUCUGGCACAUAACUGACGCUGAGGAGCGAAAGCGUGGGUAGCAAACAGGAUUAGAUACCCUUGUAGUC
RNAcentral lists this ribosomal RNA (439 nucleotides) under uncultured bacterium. RNAcentral describes it as "partial 16S ribosomal RNA". It matches the Rfam family "Bacterial small subunit ribosomal RNA", at positions 338 to 795 of the family's 1533-position model. The record is from RNAcentral.